This 253-nucleotide ribosomal RNA is filed under the name uncultured bacterium. RNAcentral's name for it is "partial 16S ribosomal RNA". It matches the Rfam family "Bacterial small subunit ribosomal RNA", at positions 524 to 776 of the family's 1533-position model. The record is from RNAcentral.
GACAGAGGGUGCAAACGUUGUUCGGAAUUACUGGGCGUAAAGCGAGUGUAGGCGGUCUGAAAAGUCAGGUGUGAAAGCCCCGGGCUCAACCCGGGAAGUGCACUUGAAACUGCCAGGCUAGAGUAUCGGAGAGGUUGGUGGAAUUCUCGGUGUAGAGGUGAAAUUCGUAGAUAUCGAGAGGAACACCGGUGGCGAAGGCGGCCAACUGGACGAAUACUGACGCUGAGACUCGAAAGCGUGGGGAGCAAACAGG